Non-coding RNA from Podarcis lilfordi (Lilford's wall lizard), 70 nucleotides. The record is from the annotation of a GenBank genome assembly. NCBI's taxonomy places the organism in Eukaryota, Metazoa, Chordata, Lepidosauria, Squamata, Lacertidae.
GCUGUAGCUCAGAGGUAGAGCAUCUGCCUUGCAUGCAGGGAGGUCCCAGGUUCAGUCCUUGGCAUCUCCA